GGACAGGUGGCCGAGCGGUUGAAGGCGCACGCCUGGAAAGCGUGUAUUGGUUAAUAGCCAAUCGCGGGUUCGAAUCCCGCCCUGUCCG
Molecule: transfer RNA, 88 nt
Filed under: Gemmatimonadaceae bacterium
Lineage: Bacteria; Pseudomonadati; Gemmatimonadota; Gemmatimonadia; Gemmatimonadales; Gemmatimonadaceae
Also listed under: 1 other name
Description: tRNA-Ser
Rfam family: tRNA
About the family: Transfer RNA (tRNA) molecules are approximately 80 nucleotides in length. Their secondary structure includes four short double-helical elements and three loops (D, anti-codon, and T loops).
Source: RNAcentral